Molecule: long non-coding RNA, 2690 nt
Filed under: Equus caballus (horse)
Lineage: Eukaryota; Metazoa; Chordata; Mammalia; Perissodactyla; Equidae
Description: lncRNA (ENSECAG00000059467.1)
Source: RNAcentral
CUCUCUGUGUCUCUCUGGGCCUCUGUGUCUCUCUGUGGGGCUGUGUCAUUUUCUGUCUCUCUCAGUCUCUCCCAGUCUCUGUUUCUCUGUCUCUUUCUCUCUCCAUUUCCGUCUCUUCUUCUUUGUCUCUCUGUCUCUCCUCUCUGGCUUUCUGUGUGUGUCUCUCUCGGUGUUUCUCUCUGUCUCUCUGAUCCGUUGUUCAGGAGAAGCAAGACGAGAUAUUAGGAGCUGCGCUUGGUGGCCCUCGUGCAAAGAGCUAGCAGAGGGUCCCGGCUCCCAGACGGAAAAGACUCCCAAAUCCAUCCAAGUGGCGUCCUGCCGAUAGUCGGGCAGUGGUGUCCGAGACAGCCCCCGCCCCUCUAGCCUCCGUUGAGCCUGCAGCCUCAGCCUCCCGGGAGACCUGGAGGCAGAGGUUCCUAGCAGAGCUGAGCCUGGAUCCUGGGAGAGAAACGAGGAGGUGGUGCCUGUUUGUUCUCACGAGUACUAAGUCAGGGUCGUGCUCACACCCAGCCUAGACAGCUAGGAGCUCCUUCCAGGCCUGAGUCUGGCCCUGCCCUCCUCCCCUCCAGCCUCCUCUCCUCCCCAGCUCUCUGCAGCCACUCUAGCUCCUUUCUCACCUCCUCUCGGCCAGAUUCCCUUGCGCCUCCGAGUGUCUGGCCCUCGGAGCUUCCCUUGGCACACUGCUCCCGGCUGUGUGCAGGGCUGGCUCCUCGUGUCCUUCUGCUCGUGGCACCAAUGUCCGCUCAGAGGACUUUCGACCCACCUCAGGGCUGCAGGCCCUCCCUCCAGCACCCUGCUUCCUUGCCCUCUAGCACCUGCGCGUCUUUUCCACAUGGGUUUGCUUCCCUCACUUGGUCCCUUCCCCUUGCAGGCGGUGAGGUCCUGGAGGACACGGGCCACGUGAGGGCUUUCAGAACCGCCCCCAGGCUCACACCGCGCCUUCCCAGAGUGAGCGCAGGGCCACAGCAGCUGAAAGAAGGGGAUGACCUCAGAGCCCCCUUCCGCCUCCGAGCACCUCCCAUCGUGGCCAUGGGCGCCAAUCAUGAAAGUUACUCCUCUGAGCACGAGCACGAGUGGCCACCAAGCCCCUGGUGGUCAGGCCCAGCAUUGCAGCAACAGGCGGGAAAGCAGGCCGUGAAAGACACACCUCGGUUCGGGGCCUGGAGGCAGCGGUUCCAGCAGGGCCCAGGGCGCAAAGGAGAAGGCCGUGCAGGCUCCGGGGGUGAUGUGAGGGACCUGCGAAGCCUCUCUUGCUCCCUCUCUCCCUGCACUGGCCCCGGCGUGUGCACUUUCCCCACGAGGCCUCCUCACCGCAGCCAGGGCACUGACUCCACUCCACGUCCAAAUGAGGACCCCGAGGCUCCAACAAGGAUGGCCUCGGUCCUGCUCUGCAGAGGAGGGGUCCUGUGCUCUGCCACGUUCUGCAGUAGCCAGGUGCCCAGCCCACCUACAGCUCAGGCUGCCCUCUGCCCAGAAAGGCCUCGAGGGACUAGAAGGCCCAGUCCAAGGCCUCGGAGCACGGUGGGUCAUGGAUGGACAACUGAGAUCGAUAGACUCUUCUACCAGCUUGUGGGGUCCUUGGAGUCACUCCUCUAGGCUCCUCAAUUGACGGAGGAGUAACCUCAGGCCUUCCAUCCACUAGCCCCUUCCACACUGGGGGCGGGGACAUCCUCCAUCCAGGUGCCCAGAGUGGUGGACACAGGACCCCAGACCUUGUCAGGCAUCUCUCCUCCUCAUGCUGCAGACCUGGGCAUGUUGCUAGGGGACUGGAAAACCCUGGGCCGAGGCAGAGCCACCUCUUUCUUCUUUCCAGCUGUCACCUCCCCAGUGUGCACUCCCCUCCUGACCCCCACCCUGGGCAGGCAGAGUGUGUGUGAGUGUGAGAGUGAGUGUGCGCCCAGGUGCGGAUGCCCAAAGGAAAGGGCCCCCAAUGGGAGGGCGUGGACAGAGGUCCCCCAGGAUCUUAGGGGCUCUCCUUCCCAAGGCCAAUCUCCUGGGACGCUAGAGCUGGCCCAGGGGCCUGGAAGCCUCGCUUCUCCUCCGGACUCUGCCCACCUCGUGGGCCCAGGGCCGGUCCCUGUUUCCCCUGGCCUCAGCUUCCCAACUGUCCCGUGAGGGUUGCGCAGGAACCGCAUCAGCCCUGCUCGGCAUGGACACAGCCCUGGCCUCCUGCCCCCCUGGGUGUGGCGGGGCUCCCAGUCCUCUCUCGCUCGGGGCAGCCGGGCCUCCUGUCCCCGGCCAGGCACACAGAGCAGCCCUGCCGGCAGCACACGUGGGGGUCCCCGCCCCCAGCACGCCUGUGGACCACAAGAGGCUCCUGACACGGCUGCUUUCGAUCAGUGCUUCUGAAAAUAUUGCAUGAUUCCACUGAUAGGAGCCAUCCAGAAAAGAUUGACCAAAACCUGCCAGAACACAGAAUAGGCGUUGUCAGGGAGCCAAGGAGGAAUGAGGCAUGAGCGCUUUGGGAAAAGGCUUCCCUUGUGGAGAAGGGAAUGUCCAGCAAGCGGACAGUGGUGAUGGAGGCCGAGCAUUGGGACUGUGCUUAACGCUCGGGAAUUGUACACUUGAAAAGGAGAAAAUGCGGAGUUCUUAAAAUAUAAAUAAAUUUAUUUUACAAUUUACAUAAAGACCAAAGAAAGACAAGAAAACGAGCAACAUAAACGGCUACACAGACAUAAGGGGGAAGCAGG